This 253-nucleotide ribosomal RNA is filed under the name uncultured bacterium. Its description in RNAcentral is "partial 16S ribosomal RNA". It matches the Rfam family "Bacterial small subunit ribosomal RNA", at positions 524 to 776 of the family's 1533-position model. The record is from RNAcentral.
UACAGAGGUCUCGAGCGUUAGGCGGAAUCACUGGGCUUAAAGCGUGUGUAGGUGGUUGCCUAAGUACCUUGUGAAAUCCCACAGCUUAACUGUGGAACUGCUUGGUAUACUGGGUGUCUUGAGUCACUCAGGGGCGAGCGGAACAAAUGGUGGAGCGGUGAAAUGCGUAGAUAUCAUUUGGAACGCCAAUGGUGAAAACAGCUCGCUGGGGGUGCACUGACACUGAGACACGAAAGCCAGGGGAGCGAACGGG